This 171-nucleotide ribosomal RNA is filed under the name uncultured bacterium. RNAcentral's name for it is "partial 16S ribosomal RNA". It matches the Rfam family "Bacterial small subunit ribosomal RNA", at positions 338 to 524 of the family's 1533-position model. The record is from RNAcentral.
CCUACGGGAGGCAGCAGUGAGGAAUUUUCCGCAAUGGGCGAAAGCCUGACGGAGCAACGCCGCGUGAGGGAUGAAGUCUCUAGGGAUGUAAACCUCUGUUGGGAGGGACGAAGAUCUGACGGUACCUCCUGAGGAAGCCCCGGCUAACUUCGUGCCAGCAGCCGCGGUAAU